RNAcentral lists this ribosomal RNA (1070 nucleotides) under uncultured Pelagibacterales bacterium. Its description in RNAcentral is "bacterial SSU rRNA". The record is from RNAcentral. Lineage: Bacteria; Pseudomonadati; Pseudomonadota; Alphaproteobacteria; Candidatus Pelagibacterales.
GGGRGGCAGCAGKGGGGAUUYUUGCMCAAKGGAGGAAAUUUGAUGCAGSGAUGCCGCUUGAGUGAAGAAGGCCUUURRRUUGUAAAGUUCUUUCGUCGGGGAAGAAAAUGACUGUACCCGAAUAAGAAGGUCCGGCUAACUUCGUGCCAGCAGCCGCGGUAAUACGAAGGGACCUAGCGUAGUUCGGAAUUACUGGGCUUAAAGAGUUCGUAGGUGGUUGAAAAAGUUGGUGGUGAAAUCCCAGAGCUUAACUCUGGAACUGCCAUCAAAACUUUUCAGCUAGAGUAUGAUAGAGGAAAGCAGAAUUUCUAGUGUAGAGGUGAAAUUCGUAGAUAUUAGAWAGAAUACCAAUUGCGAAGGCAGCUUUCUGGAUCAUUACUGACGCUGAGGAACGAAAGCAUGGGUAGCGAAGAGGAUUAGAUACCCUCGUAGUCCAUGCCGUAAACGAUGUGUGUUAGACGUUGGAAAUUUAUUUUCAGUGUCGCAGCGAAAGCGAUAAACACACCGCCUGGGGAGUACGACCGCAAGGUUAAAACUCAAAUGAAUUGACGGGGACCCGCACAAGUAGUGGAGCAUGUGGUUUAAUUCGAAGAUACGCGCAGAACCUUACCAACACUUGACAUGUUCGUCGCGACUCUAAGAGAUUAGAGUUUUCGGUUCGGCCGGACGAAACACAGGUGCUGCAUGGCUGUCGUCAGCUCGUGUCGUGAGAUGUUGGGUUAAGUCCCGCAACGAGCGCAACCCUCACUUUUAGUUGCCAUCAUUAGGUUGGGCACUCUGAWAGAACUGCCAGUGAUAAGCUGGAGGAAGGUGGGGAUGACGUCAAGUCCUCAUGGCCCUUACGUGUUGGGCUACACACGUGCUACAAUGGUAUCUACAACAGGAAGCGAAACGGCAACGUUAAGCAAAUCCCGAAAAGAUACCUCAGUUCGGAUUGCACUCUGCAACUCGAGUGCAUGAAGCUGGAAUUACUAGUAAUCGUGGAUCAGCGUGCCACGGUGAAUGCGUUCCCGGGUCUUGUACACACCGCCCGUCACACCAUGGGAGUUGGUUCUACCUUAAGGCAAGGU